Naja naja (Indian cobra) is the source of this 120-nucleotide small nucleolar RNA. The record is from Ensembl. NCBI's taxonomy places the organism in Eukaryota, Metazoa, Chordata, Lepidosauria, Squamata, Elapidae.
UUGCGCCUCCGAAGCGGUCUGUGCUUUAGGAUGGUCAACACAGGGGGGUAGAGCGCUCUCUCACUGAAACCUGGGGCGGGGUUGGGUCUCCGCCUUCGGAUCCUGUCGUGAGAAACAACG